UACGUAGGUGGCGAGCGCUGUCCGGAUUUACUGGGCGUAAAGCGCACGUAGGCGGAUCGUUAAGUCGGGGGUAAAAUCCUGGAGCUCAACUCCAGAACUGCCUUCGAUACUGGCGAUCUUGAGUCCGGAAGAGGUGAGUGGAACUCCUAGUGUAGAGGUGGAAUUCGUAGAUAUUAGGAAGAACACCAGUGGCGAAGGCGGCUCACUGGUCCGGUACUGACGCUGAGGUGCGAAAGCGUGGGGAGCAAACAGG
Molecule: ribosomal RNA, 253 nt
Filed under: uncultured bacterium
Lineage: Bacteria
Description: partial 16S ribosomal RNA
Rfam family: Bacterial small subunit ribosomal RNA
Source: RNAcentral